GCUGUAGCUCAGUGGUAGGGCAUCUGACCUGCAUGCAGAACGUCCCAAGUUCGGUCCCCGACGUCUCCA
Non-coding RNA from Podarcis lilfordi (Lilford's wall lizard), 69 nucleotides. NCBI's taxonomy places the organism in Eukaryota, Metazoa, Chordata, Lepidosauria, Squamata, Lacertidae. The record is from the annotation of a GenBank genome assembly.